This 497-nucleotide ribosomal RNA is filed under the name uncultured bacterium. RNAcentral describes it as "partial 16S ribosomal RNA". It matches the Rfam family "Bacterial small subunit ribosomal RNA", at positions 28 to 507 of the family's 1533-position model. The record is from RNAcentral.
GAUGAACGCUGGCGGCGUGCCUAAUACAUGCAAGUCGAGCGAACAGACGAGGAGCUUGCUCCUCUGACGUUAGCGGCGGACGGGUGAGUCACACGUGGAUAACCUACCUAUAAGACUGGGAUCACUUCGGGACACCGGAGCUAAUACCAGAUAAUAUCUUGCACCGCAUGGUUCAAUAGUGAAAGACGGUUUUGCUGUCACUUAUAGCUGGAUCCGCGCCGCAUUAGCUAGUUGGUAAGGUAACGGCUUACCAAGGCAACUAUGCGUGGCCGACGUGAGUGAGGGGUCGCCGACACGGGAGGGUGGACAGGCACCAGACGCCUGCGGGAGGGAGCAGUAGGGAACCGUACGCAACGGGCGAAAGCUUUACGGAGCAAGCGCGAGUGAGUGAUAAAGGUCUUGGGAGCGUAAAGCUGGGUUAUGAGGGAAGAACAAAUGUGUAAGGAGAUAUGCACGUCUUGACGGUACCGGAUCAGAAAGCCACGGCUAACUACGUG